ACGGACGGAAGCGGAAGUGGCGGCGUGCGUGCGGCAGUGGAGACGGCGGCGGCGGUGGCUGGCGUCAGGCUGUGGACGAAGAGGCGGCCUCGGUGGUAAGUGGCGGCCGCUGGGACCCAGCCAGGUACCGGUCCGGCUCGGCCCUGCCCCUUUCCGGCCGCUCUCACUCCUUCCCUCGGCCUCGAGUUCCUCGUAGGCCCGUGGGGGCCGCCGCGGGGUCGGGGCUGCGAGGCAGCGCCCGCCGUUCCAUGGUAAGCGGUGCUACGGGACGUUCGGAAGGAAACCUCGCUAGAGCAGGGGACGCCUGGGCUCCUGGCUGACCACGGGGCCUUUGCACGGCCAGGGCUUUGCGACCGCAGUGUCUUCCUUCUGUCCCCGGUCGUGCGCCGUGCCCCUCAGCGCGGCUCACGUUUCGGAACACGUCUGCCUUUCAUGCCUCCCGAAGAGCCUCCCCGCAUCCCGUGCCCCCUGCUCGCUGCUGCCGCUGACCCUUGGGCGCUGCGCUGGUCCAGAGCGUGUUGUCCUCUGACGCCGUCAGAACCUGAGCUCCCUGCGAGCUGGGACUCCGCCGUGUCUUCAUUGCCUCCAGUGCAAAGCAACUGCUUGCAAGAGAACAAAAGUGUGUUCAGGUGCACAGAGUAGAAAAUUCAAGGAGCCUGAAAGGGUAUUUGGUGAAGACUUGAUGUGUUUUUCCCAGUCCUAACCUCCAAGGCCCAGUUCUCCCCUGGGGCAGAGGGAAACCCGUUUCUUACGGGUCUGCAAAGAAAGUCUAUGCAGGAACAUCUACGUGCGUUUCUGCAAAAGGUCAGUUACUUUACUUGGGGCUCUUAUACUUAACGUAGCUCGGAGAGCGCCCCAUGCAUUCAGAUACAGGUGGGAUUCCUCCGGAAACGGAGUUUUAUAGCACCAGACUUUAUCCCCUUUCCUGUAGAAAUUUAGGGUUUUUGCUGUCUUUUAUAACGAACAAUGCUAGCUUGACUAUUGCUUGUACAAACCGUUUUUUGCCCAAGUCGGACUAUUUUCUUAGGUUAAAUUCCUUGGUGCAGAAGUGCGAGGGCUGUAUUUAGGCCCCUAAAGGGGUGGUACCAAAUCGCCCUCCCCCACCAGCAUAAGAGGGGGCCGGCGACACCCUUGCCCAAGCUGGAUUUUGCAGACCUGGUAGGCGUGAGAUAGUAUUUCACUGUAGCUUGUGUUUCCUGUAAGUAUAGUCGAACGUCGUGAUGUUCCUGUUACAUCUAUGUUACGUUGAUCAUUGUUACCACUGACAGUCGUUUCGAGAUUGGAAAAUAUGUUUAUUAUAAACGUUUGACUAUUUAAAAGCCAUUUGUAUUUUAUCUUCUUGGCUCAUUUUUCUGUUGGGUGGAUGGUGGUGGUUUCUAGGUGCACUUUACAGAUUAAGAAAAUUCGCUUUCUGUCUAGUAGAAGUGUUUUUUUUUUUUUUUUUUUUUUUUUUUUUUUGGGACUCUGACACAUUUAUUGCUGAAUACCAUUUCUCGGCUGACCCGGAAGUGUUUCUUUUUUCUAUCUGUCAUUAGUCUUUGACUUUGUUUGUAUUUUUUUCUUUAAGCUAAGCAUCUAAAAUUGUUACUGGUCAUUAGUUUUUUUCUCUUUACGGCUCCUGCAUUUUUGUGUCAUCUCAGGAAUAUCUUCUCCGCUGUAAGAUCAUAAAACAUUUGAGAUUUUCUUCUA
This 1689-nucleotide long non-coding RNA is filed under the name Homo sapiens (human). Lineage: Eukaryota; Metazoa; Chordata; Mammalia; Primates; Hominidae. The record is from RNAcentral.